Carassius auratus (goldfish) is the source of this 916-nucleotide long non-coding RNA. RefSeq lists it as uncharacterized. NCBI's taxonomy places the organism in Eukaryota, Metazoa, Chordata, Actinopteri, Cypriniformes, Cyprinidae. The record is from RefSeq and is a predicted model, not a curated record. The transcript is spliced from 3 exons.
UGUACAUUGAACGUGAUCUUUACUUAAUAUCCUUAUGGUUUUUGGCAUAAGAGAAAUGGAUAAUUGUGAGACAUGCAAAUAGUUGCUUUUGGGGAGUAAUGCAAUGCAUGCAUUCGUGUUAAAAGUAACUUCGCCUCCUACUGGACAUCAAGCUACUUAUCUCUUUGUAUUUAUAUUAAUCCUUAUUAUUCAUACGCAUCUUCUUUGUGACGUGUUAAAUUAAACCUUUAAGAAAAACACAGAUAAAAAGAACACUUAAAAACUACAAUUUCCCUUUCAUACAAAUUAUUUCAACGAAGACUUUUAAUUUGUAACACGUCGCUUUGUCGAUGACGCGUCUUCCGUAGAUUCCGGCGCGAUCUCUCUAGCCGUUCUCCUCUCCUCACACACGACGUCUGAUCAUGUUGGGCAAAAUAAUCGGACAGAAAUACUUGUCUAUCGCCAAAUCAUGGGUUCCCACGCUCGCCGUCUGGGGAGGAACUGGAGGAGUCGCUCUCGUUUACUUCACAGACUGGAGGCUCAUCAUGGACUACGUUCCUUACAUCAAUGGAAAGUUCAAGAAGGAAGAUUAGAUGAAGUCGUGCUCCUGAUGGACUGAAGACGGAGAUGUUUGUCCCUGUUUGAGAUGAAGACAUCAAUCCACCGUCUGAAUCCACCAUCACUGCUAAUGAACAAUGUCAUAUUUAUUUUUUGGAGUGUUCAUCCAUUUGUCCCUCAUGAAAAGUCUCACAAUCUUAUAAAGACGUAAAGCCGGGAUGUUUUCUAUGUUUCUAUGAAGAGCUUCUUCAGUUCUUUCCUGUGAAUCCUGGAGGAAUAAAACCAAUGGUUCUGUUAUUGAGAGCUGCUGUUGAAUUCUGUUGUGAUCAUUCGCAGGUUACUGGUGAUGCUUGAUAAUAAAUCAAAGAAAAGAUGAAAA